This 319-nucleotide long non-coding RNA is filed under the name Anas platyrhynchos platyrhynchos (common mallard). Its description in RNAcentral is "lncRNA (ENSAPLG00000027270.1)". The record is from RNAcentral. Lineage: Eukaryota; Metazoa; Chordata; Aves; Anseriformes; Anatidae.
GAAAAAUCUCAGCACACAAUAAAUGUACUCGUUUGUACAGUCCUAAAUUAUUUCUCCUGGCAAAUAAAAUGACUAGAUCUUGCCCGUGAAAACUGUCUUUGCUCACUGAAAUGUUCAUGGUGAGAACAACGAAAGUUUGGCUUAUUCACCAGUCCUGAAAAUCUGUUUUUUCUUUCUGUCUCCAGACUCGUGAGAACACAUUACCGCAUGCUUCUGAAAUAAAAAGAUUAAAGUGAAUCAUCUCCAGAAGGAACAUCAAACAAAGCUUGGUGUCGUGUGCACCACAGCAGCUGUGCCAGCAGGGACUCAGGAAGAAGUU